RNAcentral lists this ribosomal RNA (426 nucleotides) under uncultured bacterium. RNAcentral describes it as "bacterial SSU rRNA". It matches the Rfam family "Bacterial small subunit ribosomal RNA", at positions 354 to 796 of the family's 1533-position model. The record is from RNAcentral.
GUGAGGAAUUUUCCGCAAUGGGCGAAAGCCUGACGGAGCAAUGCCGCGUGAAGGAUGAAGGCCUAUGGGUUGUAAACUUCUUUUCUCAGAAAAGAAUUAUGACGGUAUCUGAGGAAUAAGCAUCGGCUAACUCUGUGCCAGCAGCCGCGGUAAGACAGAGGAUGCAAGCGUUAUCCGGAAUGAUUGGGUGUAAAGCGUCUGUAGGUUGUUUAAAAAGUAUUCUGUCAAAGAUUAGGGCUUAACCCUAGAUAGGCAGAAUAAACUUUUAAGCUAGAGUGUGGUAGAGGCAGAGGGAAUUCCCGGUGGAGCGGUGAAAUGCGUAGAUAUCGGGAGGAACACCAAAGGCGAAGGCACUCUGCUGGGCCAAUACUAACACUGAGAGACGAAAGCGAGGGGAGCAAAUGGGAUUAGAUACCCUAGUAGUCC